CGGGGGUCGGCACCUGGGGCCCGUGAGCGCCGCUGGGGCCUGUGAGCGGGACCUUGAGGGGUGGGGCCCGCUCCGAGGCGGCGCUGGGAGAGCCGGAAGGAGGCUUUCUGCAGCUUGGGGGGCCUGUGCUUGGCUCUCGGUUGUGCUGUUCCUGUGUAGCCAGGUUUUUCCCUAACAACGCCCCUACCGCAUUCAAAUCACGUGGAAAAGAAGCUGCAUCCACUGGCCCCUCGUUACUUCUCUCCAAAAUCUGGCUCCCCAAAGGGCAUAGGAAGAGUCAGUAUCUCUGAAGGAGAUCUACUAAAGCCAACACCAAAGAAAGAGACUUUGAGAGCCAGUAGGAUACGCUAAGCAGAAUGAUUUGAAUCUUAUGCCACUCCAUGGGCUGAGUGGAUUGAAGGAGGCUGCUGGGCUUCAUACCUCUAAAUUACUGCUUGAAGGUAAGUGCUCAUGUCAUGAACAUGUGUUCAAGAGCUGAGCAAGAGGCGUUGCUUUCCAGCAAAGGUCAACAGGAGGAGGGAAGUGACUCCACCUAGAAGUAAGAGAGUGCCUGAACUUUGACCUUUGCAUGUAAGGC
This 577-nucleotide long non-coding RNA is filed under the name Struthio camelus australis. RNAcentral describes it as "lncRNA (ENSSCUG00000009985.1)". Lineage: Eukaryota; Metazoa; Chordata; Aves; Struthioniformes; Struthionidae. The record is from RNAcentral.